CGCGAACGGCUCAUUAUAACAGCUAUAAUUUACUUGAUCUUGACUUCCUACUUGGAUAACUGUGGUAAUUCUAGAGCUAAUACAUGCACCAAAGCUCCGACCUUACGGGAAGAGCGCAUUUAUUCGAACAAAACCAAGCGGCUUCGGCCGUCCGCAGUUGACUCAGAAUAACUAAGCUGAUCGCAUGGUCUUGAACCGGCGACGUGUCUUUCAAGUAUCUGCCUUAUCAACUUUCGAUGGUAGUGUAUCUGACUACCAUGGUGGUGACGGGUAACGGAGGAUAAGGGUUCGACUCCGGAGAAGGGGCCUGAGAAAUGGCCACUACGUCUAAGGAUGGCAGCAGGCGCGCAAAUUACCCACUCUCAGAAUGAGGAGGUAGUGACGAGAAAUAACGAGACCGUUCUCUACGAGGCCGGUCAUCGGAAUGGGUACAAUUUAAACCCUUUAACGAGUAUCUAUGAGAGGGCAAGUCUGGUGCCAGCAGCCGCGGUAAUUCCAGCU
This is a ribosomal RNA of 501 nucleotides. It matches the Rfam family "Eukaryotic small subunit ribosomal RNA", at positions 88 to 590 of the family's 1831-position model.